CCAAUAGCGUAUAUUAAAGUUGUUGCAGUUAAAAAGCUCGUAGUUGAACUUCGGGGUUUACCCAUUGGUCAGGCUUAAUUGUCUGUACUGGUGAGAUAAAUCUCUACCUUCUGAGGAACUUUCAUGUCAUUAAUUUGGUGUGAUUGGAAAUCAGGACUGUUACUUUGAAAAAAUUAGAGUGUUUAAAGCAGGCUAACGUCUGAAUACAUUAGCAUGGAAUAAUGAAAUAGGACGGACUGAUUCUAUUGCGUUGGUUUCUAGGAUCACCGUAAUGAUUAAUAGGGAUAGUUGGGGGCAUUAGUAUUCAAUUGUAAGAGGUGAAAUUCUUGGAUUUAUUGAAGACUAACUACUGCGAAAGCAUUUGCCAAGGAUGGUUUCAUUAAUCAAGAACGAAAGUUAGAGGUUCGAAGGCGAUCAGAUACCGCCCUAGUUCUAACCAUAAACGAUGCCAACCGGCGAUCCGUCGUCGUUAAUUGAAUGACUCGACGGGCAGCCUCCG
This 499-nucleotide unclassified non-coding RNA is filed under the name uncultured Diversispora. Its description in RNAcentral is "SSU rRNA". It matches the Rfam family "Eukaryotic small subunit ribosomal RNA", at positions 591 to 1092 of the family's 1831-position model. The record is from RNAcentral. Lineage: Eukaryota; Fungi; Glomeromycota; Glomeromycetes; Diversisporales; Diversisporaceae.